Molecule: ribosomal RNA, 497 nt
Filed under: uncultured bacterium
Lineage: Bacteria
Description: partial 16S ribosomal RNA
Rfam family: Bacterial small subunit ribosomal RNA
Source: RNAcentral
GAUGAACGCUGGCGGCGUGCCUAAUACAUGCAAGUCGAGCGAACAGAUGAGGAGCUUGCUCCUCUGACGUUAGCGGCGGACGGGUGAGUAACACGUGGAUAACCUACCUAUAAGACUGGGAUAACUCCGGGAAACCGGAGCUAAUACCGGAUAAUAUUUUGAACCGCAUGGUUCUAUAGUGAAAGAUGGUUUUGCUGUCACUUAUAGAUGGACCCGCGCCGUAUUAGCUAGUUGGUAAGGUAACGGCUUACCAAGGCAACGAUACGUAGCCGACCUGAGAGGGUGAUCGGCCACACUGGAACUGAGACACGGUCCAGACUCCUACGGGAGGCAGCAGUAGGGAAUCUUCCGCAAAGGGCGAAAGCCUGACGGAGCAACGCCGCGUGAGUGAUGAAGGUCUUCGGAUCGUAAAACUCUGUUAUUAGGGAAGAACAAAUGUGUAAGUAACUGUGCACGUCUUGACGGUACCUAAUCAGAAAGCCACGGCUAACUACGUG